CUAUAGUGUGACUGUAUACUGAGUCGCUCUUCUUCGCUCUCCUUAGUCGCUCUUCUUCGUCAGAAUGUCCUCUAUAACACUUUGUCUUAACCAGGCAGGUAUGUCUUGUUCCACUGUUCCAGACCACGCUUUGUUCAUUUAUUGUUUCUAAUGUUAAAACGACUAACAAUGACAUUUUCAUAUCGUUUACAUGUAGGGCCAAUUUCACAGACUCAGAAUAAGCCUGCUCUUGGGCAACAAAUACUAAGGAUUAGUCUUAAUUUGGUCCGGAAACCGGCCCAUAGAUGAAUUUCCGGAAACUGGCCCAUAGAGUUCCAUAGAUGAAUGAGGUUUGGAAAACUGGCCCAUAGAGUUCUAUAGAUGAAUGAGGUCUGGAAAACUGGCCCAUAGAGUUCUAUAGAUGAAUGAGGUUUGGAAAACUGGCCCAUAGAGUUCUAUAGAUGAAUGAGGUCUGGAAACUGUCCCAUAGAGUUCUAUAGAUGAAUGAGGUCUGGAAAACUGGCCCAUAGAGUUCUAUAGAUGAAUGAGGUCUGGAAACUGUCCCAUAGAGUUCUAUAGAUGAAUGAGGUCUGGAAAACUGGCCCAUAGAGUUCUAUAGAUGAAUGAGGUCUGGAAAACUGUCCCAUAGAGUUCUAUAGAUGAAUGAGGUCUGGAAAACUGGCCCAUAGAGUUCUAUAGAUGAAUGAGGUCUGGAAAACUGGCCCAUAGAGUUCUAUAGAUGAAUGAGGUCUGGAAAACUGGCCCAUAGAGUUCUAUAGAUGAAUGAGGUCUGGAAAACUGUCCCAUAGAGUUCUAUAGAUGAAUGAGGUCUGGAAAACUGGCCCAUAGAGUUCUAUAGAUGAAUGAGGUCUGGAAAACUGGCCCAUAGAGUUCUAUAGAUGAAUGAAGUCUGGAAAACUGGCCCAUAGAGUUCUAUAGAUGAAUGAGGUCUGGAAAACUGUCCCAAAGAGUUCCAUAGAUAAAUGAGCGAGUCGUGUUAUGUUUCUCUGCCUCUGACAGGAAGUGUGCGUUGAGCGGCGU
Molecule: long non-coding RNA, 1020 nt
Organism: Oncorhynchus keta (chum salmon)
Lineage: Eukaryota; Metazoa; Chordata; Actinopteri; Salmoniformes; Salmonidae
Exons: 3
Source: RefSeq, a predicted model, not a curated record